UCCGCCCUGUGGUUUUGGAGCCCUUCCUCCCGGCGCGCAGGGUGUGGUCCCCGAGAAUAAGAUGAGCAGAAUUAAAGCAGAUCCUGCACCCACUCUGCUGAAAUCCGGCUUCUGAGGCAGCCUCGCCCAGGGCUGGGUGGGCUCAGGCGGCUGCUACUCGGUUCAGGGGAGGUUACGCACGGUGGCUGCCGCGCGCAGGGGAGGCUUCGCUUCCGUACUCCUUGGGCCGGGAGAUCCGAUCUUUGUUCCCUCAAGACUCACACUCUCCAACCGGUCAUUAUCCUCCCACAAAGAUUUAUUUCUAGAAAAAAUUGGCAAGUGCCACAGUUCCCGCCCCUUCAGCUGAACGACUGUGACAGCUCCGUGUUUCAAGUUGAAUGCAGGCGUUAUGUGCCAGAGUCAAUCAUUCAACAAAUAAAGUUCUUAAAAUAACAGCUACCAUUUACUGCACGCUGACUACUUGCCAGGCCCAUGCUGAGUUCUUCAAGCGUAUUUUCAUUUACUCCUAAUAGCAACUCUCGGUGGUAGGUACCAUUAUGCCCUCUAGUUUUCAAAUGAGGAAGCUGAAUAACUUGCCAAGGUCAGAAAGUAACUGUUGAAACUUUGAAGGAAACACAUCUGUCUGACUCUAAAUCCCAUGAGCUUAAUUAGCCCCUGUGAUAGACCAUACUGCAGACAUUUGAGGCAGAUUUGAGGUGGUGAAUGCCUCUGGAUCUGGAGACACUGGGUUCCAGUGCUGGCAUAGGCCCUCUACUAGGGGUCAGACUUUGGUCAGGUUACUUUGGACGGGUUACUGGGCCUCUUCCUAACUUUAUGGCUCCCAGCAUGUUUAAAAGAACAUGACAACAUGAAAAAAUAUGGUAUAAAAGUCAUAGUAUAUUUUAAAUAUUGACAUUUAACUAAAAACACUGUCUCACACACACACAAACUCUAACUUUAUUUGGACAUAAUCUUUGACUCUGCAUUUAGUUAUUCUAAAUCUCUUUCUGGAUUAGAGACAGAAGGAACAUAGACCAUACACGCAUUCUAGAGGAAGAGGAGAGAGAAGAGGAAGCAGGAAGGAGAAUGAAGAAAGUUUCCUCAUCAGCUUUUUCCUCCUCGCUGAUCUUGCCCCUUGUCCAGUACCCAGUGCUUCAUCCAUGGGUUUCAGACACAGAAGUCUGGCGGUUCAUCUGGAGCCUUUCCCAGCCUGACUCAGAGGACUGCCUGCAUCUGUGCAACCUGGCUCAGAGCCUGUCUACGUUUGGGCAGAGCCUAUAUCCCCCUGCCAAACGGGCUAAUGACAGACAACAGUCUAUGUGACCCUAUCUUUCUUCCCCUCCAAGGGUAUGGCCCCAGAUUUCAGCCUCAGAUAGGGGAUCAGGCCCAAAAAUUAGGAGUUGGCAAAAGAAAUAGCCGCAAUAUAGAAAUAUGAUUAAGAUCUGGCUUUGGGGUCACUCUGAAACUGAAUCCCAACUCUGCCAACUGUGUGAUCUUGGAGUUAUCCUCAUUUAACCUCAGAGGAUAUAUUAAUAGCCGUCUUAAAUGGUUGAUAGGAAUUAGGACAGAAAACUAAUAAAACACUUGGCUCACAGUAAACACUCAAUGAGUAGUAACAAUUAUUAUUAAGUAUAGAGAAUCUCUUGUCUGUUUCCCUGGCAAAGGCCAUCAGAAAGCAAAAUAAGGUCUAAAGUGUCAACAUACUGGAUGGUGCCACCAGAACUACUACUACUGUCCCCAUCCCCAGAAAGUUUUCCCACAGUUCCUGCUUCUUUGUA
Molecule: long non-coding RNA, 1757 nt
Filed under: Homo sapiens (human)
Lineage: Eukaryota; Metazoa; Chordata; Mammalia; Primates; Hominidae
Description: HSALNT0291613
Source: RNAcentral